CUCCCAGAGAUGGGAAUCGAACCCACAGUGUUCCGCUUACCGGGCAGAUGCCAUGUCCACUAGACUACCCUGUUCCAGGGA
RNAcentral lists this transfer RNA (81 nucleotides) under Cordylochernes scorpioides. Its description in RNAcentral is "tRNA-Thr". Lineage: Eukaryota; Metazoa; Arthropoda; Arachnida; Pseudoscorpiones; Chernetidae. The record is from RNAcentral.